GAUGAGAUGAGAUGAGCUGAUGAUGAGAUGAGAUGAGAUGAGAUGAGUUGCUGAUGAUGAUGAGAUGAGAUGAGAUGAGAUGUGAUGUGAUGAGAUGAUGAUGAGAUGAUGAUGUGAUGUGAUGUGAUGAGAUGAGUUGAUGAUGAGAUGAGAUGAGUUGCUGAUGAUGAUGAUCUAUUCCCUGAAUCCAGUUGUUCUUCAGGUGGCCGCUGACACCACUUAGUAGGUGUUGAAAGCAAAAGGUUUCGUGCAAGUUUUUCUUGCCUUUAUGUUCCCUUACGCUCAUCACCUGAACUCAGCCGGCCUCACAUUAGAGGUUAAGAAGAUCAAAUCAUUGUUUUUGUUCAAUCGCAAAAACCAACAUUCUUACAAGUAUCAAACAGGCAGAUUUUUUUACAUUUAGGCCCCAAAUAUUAAAUAACUAAUUGAACAAGUUUCAUGUUUAAUACCAAUUGUAUUAUUUAACAAUUUAGCCUAUAUAAAUAUUUCAACAUUGACUUCAUCAUUUCAUUUUGAGUAAUUUGGCCCUCCGUGAUAUAUAAAUUGGUUAAAUAUAGUCCUAAAUUGUACGGACAUUUUGAGCUUUUGGUUCUUAACGUUGCGUAGCCCGUGAUUCCUCCUAAAGUCAGUAAAGCUGGACCCAAUGUCGAUGAGAAAGAAAACGUGCAGGUCAUACAGCUCGUGCAGAAACUGGAGGAUUUUUGCCAAGAACAGUGAGCAGCUUCACCGCUCAGGACAAAAUCACGGACUAAUACAACUACACGACGGUUUUCUGACAUGCAAAUAUGCAGAGAUUAACGACGACGCUACACGACAAACACAGCCAGAAAAGUUCAGGUUCAAAGUGUAGAAAACACAAAGGACAAGAAAAAACUGAAGAAAACCUGCUUUCAGUCGAGGUGUCCCGUCCCGACGAUUCCUCGGUCAAGGCUCCGAUGAAAGAAGCUGUUGCUGUAGUAAAUCCUCUCCGAUAGACUCCUAAAUCCUUAUUCCGGCUGUAAGCAGUUUGUAUGCGGGAUUCAUAGUGAGAAAUAUACAACAAACUAUCUCCCAAAGGCAAGAGACGCUGACUUUUGAUAACAUUCUCUGAAACAUCUUUCACUGCGCGUCUGAUGCUGUUGAUCCUGUAUGACGUAGCCAUUAGAGACGCCACGCCGCCAUCUGAUUGGAGGAAAGGUGUUCUAUUAACCAGCUCUUGUCAUUGGCUGUUUUAUAAAAUACUUUGUUUACAUUUUUGUAACCUGA
Triplophysa dalaica is the source of this 1245-nucleotide long non-coding RNA. RefSeq lists it as uncharacterized. The record is from RefSeq and is a predicted model, not a curated record. The transcript is spliced from 2 exons. NCBI's taxonomy places the organism in Eukaryota, Metazoa, Chordata, Actinopteri, Cypriniformes, Nemacheilidae.